Molecule: transfer RNA, 87 nt
Filed under: Oscillospiraceae bacterium
Lineage: Bacteria; Bacillati; Bacillota; Clostridia; Eubacteriales; Oscillospiraceae
Description: tRNA-Leu
Rfam family: tRNA
About the family: Transfer RNA (tRNA) molecules are approximately 80 nucleotides in length. Their secondary structure includes four short double-helical elements and three loops (D, anti-codon, and T loops).
Source: RNAcentral
GCCGGUAUGGCGGAAUCGGCAGACGCAAGGGACUUAAAAUCCCUCGAAGGCAACUUCGUACCGGUUCAAGUCCGGUUACCGGCACCA